RNAcentral lists this small RNA (127 nucleotides) under Marmota monax (woodchuck). The record is from RNAcentral. Lineage: Eukaryota; Metazoa; Chordata; Mammalia; Rodentia; Sciuridae.
GCUGGGCAUGGUGGCCCACACCUGUAAUCCCAGCAGCUUGGGAGGUUGAGACAGGAGGAUCGAAAGUUCAAAGCAAGCCUCAUCAAUUUAGCAAGAUUGUAAGCAACUUAGCAAGACCCUGUCUCAA